This is a non-coding RNA of Plectropomus leopardus (leopard coralgrouper), 250 nucleotides long. The record is from RefSeq and is a predicted model, not a curated record. Lineage: Eukaryota; Metazoa; Chordata; Actinopteri; Perciformes; Serranidae.
UAAAAUCUGAACCUUUCUUUACCCAAAUAAUCUCUCAAAUCCGCACAAAAACUCAAAAUGGGCAAGCGACAGCACCAGAAAGACAAAAUGUACAUCACGUGUACAGAGUACACACACUUUUAUGGAGGGAAGCGAGCAGAAAUCCCACAGUCAAACUUCAGACGGCUGCCAUUUGACCACUGCAGCUUGUCCCUUCAGCCGUUUGAGUAUCCUGUCUGUACUGAGGAGGGAGUUGUCUUUGACCUGCUGU